AUACUUACCUAGUGGGGGAAAUACCAUGAUCAUGAAGGUGGCUUUCCCAGGGUGAGGCUCAUCCAUUGCACGCUGGAUGUGUUGACAUCUGCAGGAAACCUGACUGCAUAAUUUGUGGUAGUGGGUAUACUUCACUUUCAUUCCUU
Pan troglodytes (chimpanzee) is the source of this 146-nucleotide small nuclear RNA. It matches the Rfam family "U1 spliceosomal RNA". Rfam says of the family: U1 is a small nuclear RNA (snRNA) component of the spliceosome (involved in pre-mRNA splicing). NCBI's taxonomy places the organism in Eukaryota, Metazoa, Chordata, Mammalia, Primates, Hominidae. The record is from Rfam.